UGUAUGGACUCAAAUUCUUUGGAAAAAGAUGCCAUGGAGAGUGACAGUCUCGUACUUUUCAAUACAUUUUCCACAUAUAACUCCUUCAAAGAGUCGAGUUGUUUGGGAAUGCAGCUCAAAGUGGGACGUAAAUUUGUUCCAAAGCUAAAUACCGGCUAGAGACCGAUAGCGCACAAGUAGAGUGAUCGAAAGAUGAAAAGCACUUUGAAAAGAGAGUUAAAAAGCACGUGAAAUUGUUGAAAGGGAAGCUUGUGUAAUCAGAAAUGGUGUCAUUGUUCAGCCGACUUUUGGUGUAUUCAAUGAUUGCCAGGCUAGCAUCAGUUUGCAUGAUUGGAUAAAAGUGUUGGAAAUGUAGCUCCUCUGGGAGUGUUAUAGUCUGAUACAGAAUGCAACCAAUGCAGACUGAGGACCGCUGAUAGGAUGC
Molecule: ribosomal RNA, 424 nt
Filed under: Astrothelium sp. MPN162
Lineage: Eukaryota; Fungi; Ascomycota; Dothideomycetes; Trypetheliales; Trypetheliaceae
Description: eukaryotic LSU rRNA
Rfam family: Eukaryotic large subunit ribosomal RNA
Source: RNAcentral